UGGCGGACGGGUGAGUAACACGUGGGAAUCUGCCUUUAGAUGGGGGAUAACUGACCUAAAGGUUAGCUAAUACCGCAUAUGCCGCAAGGUAAAAGGAGCAAUCCGUCUGAAGAUGAGCCCGCGUCCGAUUAGCUAGUUGGUAGGGUAAAAGCCUACCAAGGCUACGAUCGGUAGCUGGUCUGAGAGGAUGAUCAGCCACAAUGGGACUGAGACACGGCCCAU
RNAcentral lists this ribosomal RNA (222 nucleotides) under uncultured bacterium. RNAcentral describes it as "partial 16S ribosomal RNA". It matches the Rfam family "Bacterial small subunit ribosomal RNA", at positions 96 to 334 of the family's 1533-position model. The record is from RNAcentral.